GGGUGAUUAGCUCAGCUGGGAGAGCACCUCCCUUACAAGGAGGGGGUCGGCGGUUCGAUCCCGUCAUCACNACCCACCA
This 79-nucleotide transfer RNA is filed under the name Escherichia coli. Its description in RNAcentral is "tRNA-Val". The stretch from base 3 to 70 matches the Rfam family "tRNA". Rfam says of the family: Transfer RNA (tRNA) molecules are approximately 80 nucleotides in length. Lineage: Bacteria; Pseudomonadati; Pseudomonadota; Gammaproteobacteria; Enterobacterales; Enterobacteriaceae. The record is from RNAcentral.